RNAcentral lists this unclassified non-coding RNA (225 nucleotides) under uncultured fungus. Its description in RNAcentral is "sequence contains ITS1". The record is from RNAcentral. Lineage: Eukaryota; Fungi.
UAUAAGUUGAUCAACGCUUUUUUAGGGCGAGGAUAUCGAUUACAUUCUAUGAGACAUACGAUGGGUUGAUGAUAAGACAUAGGUCACCUUUUUUAAGGGCGACCUACAUUAAGUGCACAGGUGUAAAGUGGAUUAAGGGCUCGAGCGUGCACAUGCCCCGAGAGGCCAGCGACAACCCUCGCCCGUAAUUCAAUAAUGAUCCUUCCGCAGGUUCACCUACGGAAA